UACGUAGGGGGCAAACGUUGUCCGGAUUUAUUGGGCGUAAAGCGCGUGUAGGUGGCCAAGUAGGUCCGCUGUGAAAACUUGAGGCUCAACCUCAAGCUGUCGGUGGAAACCCCUUGGCUAGAGUCCGGAAGAGGAGAGUGGAAUUCCUGGUGUAGCGGUGAAAUGCGCAGAUAUCAGGAAGAACACCAAUGGCGAAGGCAGCUCUCUGGGACGGUACUGACACUGAGACGCGAAAGCGUGGGGAGCGAACAGG
RNAcentral lists this ribosomal RNA (253 nucleotides) under uncultured bacterium. Its description in RNAcentral is "partial 16S ribosomal RNA". It matches the Rfam family "Bacterial small subunit ribosomal RNA", at positions 524 to 776 of the family's 1533-position model. The record is from RNAcentral.